UUUAUUUGAAAUAAAAUAUAUUUUUUAUUUAUGUAUAAUUUAUUAUAAUUGGAUAAUAAGUUAUUAUAAUUGGAUAAUAAGUAAAGUAAUAUUUAAUUUUAUUUUAAAAUGUUUUAGUAUUUUAAAUUUUAAAUUAAUAGUUUAUUUUUUAAAUGUAAAUGGAAUUAAUGAAAUAUUUUAAAUAUUUAAAAUNAUUARUNAAAWAWKUWAAAWAUWURARWWAAAAAGUUUAUUAAUUAUUUAUUAUAAAUUUAAUUUUCUCGAAUUAAUUAGAGAUUAUUUUCGAUCUAAGUUAAUGUUUAAUUAUUAUUUAAAAUAUUAGAUUAGAGGAGAAAUUCUAGUCAAUAAUUAUAAUUAUAGGUAAAAUUAUUGAUAGGAUUAUAAUAUUUAUUAUUAUUAAUAUUAUUUAUAAUUAAUWUCUGAUUAUAUAAUCAGACUUUUUAGAAAAAUUGGAAGGGWUUAGCUUUAAAUAUACGUUGUAUAUAUUAUAAAAAUUAAAUUUUAUGUGUAUUAAUUUAAAAUUAAAUAAAAAUUAAUAUUUAUAGAAAAAAUAAAUAAAUUUAUGCGUUUAUUUAAAAAUUUAAAUUAGUAGUUAAUUAUUAAUAAUGUUAAUUUAAUAAAUUAUUAAUCUUCAUCAGUAAUGAUAGAAAUAUUAUAAGAAUAAUCAAACAAUGUCUACGAAAUGUCAAUAUCAAGAUGCUGCUUCAAAUCCAAAAUGAUGAUUUCUUGAAAAGUGGUUAGACAAAAAUAAAUAUCUACCUGUUUAACAAAAACAUGUCUUUUUGAUUUUAAUUUAAAGUCUGAUCUGCCCAAUGAAAAAUUUUAUUUAAAUGGCCGCGGUAUUUUGACCGUGCAAAGGUAGCAUAAUCAUUAGUUUUUUAAUUGAAWGCUUGUAUGAACGAUUGAAUAAGAUAUUAAUUGUCUCAUAAUUAAUUAAAUUAAAAUUUAAUUUUUAAAUUAAAAAGUUUAAAUUUCAUUAAAGGACGAGAAUACAUAUAUAAUUAUACUUAUUAAGCGCAAUAAAUUAAUAGGUAUGAAAUAAAAGAAAAAUAAUUUUUUGAUCCUGAAUUUUAGAUUAUAAAAAUAAAAUACCUUAGGGAUAACAGCGUAAUUUAUUUGGAGAGAUCAUAUUAAUAAAUAAGUUUGCGACCUCGAUGUUGAAUUAAGAUAAUACUUAGGUGGAGAUACUUAAGAUUUUAGGUCUGUUCGACCUUUAAAUUCUUACAUGAUUUGAGUUCAGAUCGGCGUGAGCCAGAUCGGAUUCUAUCCUUAAUAAAUUAAAAAUAUUUUUGUACGAAAGGACUUUAUAUUUUAAAUAAUUUAAAAAUUUAUUGAUAAAAAUUAAUAAUAUAAUAAAAAAAA
RNAcentral lists this ribosomal RNA (1362 nucleotides) under Syrista parreyssii. RNAcentral describes it as "16S ribosomal RNA". Lineage: Eukaryota; Metazoa; Arthropoda; Insecta; Hymenoptera; Cephidae. The record is from RNAcentral.